UCAUGUCUAAACAAGAGGCAAAAGCUUCCACCAUGGACUUCAGGGACAAGAAAGAAAAAAUAUAUAUUUUAUUCAAAGUCAUUAGACAGGACAAUAGUGAGGUUCACUGCAAGGUAAAAAUGACAACACAUCCCAAGAAACUCAAAGAAUCAUACUAUCAAAAAACGCACAGAGUUCCAAUGAAAUUAUUCAAGUUCCUCUUUGAAGGUCAGAAAAUUGCUGAUAUUCACACUCCACAAGAACUUAGAAUGAAGCAGUAAGAUGGGAUUGAAGUUUACCAGGAAUAAAUAGGGGGAACUUAUUCAAC
This 307-nucleotide long non-coding RNA is filed under the name Homo sapiens (human). Its description in RNAcentral is "non-protein coding lnc-WNT11-5:1". The record is from RNAcentral. Lineage: Eukaryota; Metazoa; Chordata; Mammalia; Primates; Hominidae.